RNAcentral lists this non-coding RNA (99 nucleotides) under Carbonactinospora thermoautotrophica. RNAcentral's name for it is "Streptomyces thermoautotrophicus Glycine sequence". It matches the Rfam family "Glycine riboswitch aptamer". Rfam says of the family: This family represents the bacterial glycine riboswitch. Glycine riboswitches usually consist of two metabolite-binding aptamers domains with similar structures in tandem. The record is from Rfam by way of RNAcentral. Lineage: Bacteria; Bacillati; Actinomycetota; Actinomycetes; Kitasatosporales; Carbonactinosporaceae.
UGACCUCGUACGGGAGAGACCUCGCCCCGCGCGGGCACGAGGCGCCGAAGGAGCAACUCCUCCCCGGAAUCUCUCAGGCACAGCGACCGUACGAGCGAG